GAUGAACGCUGGCGGCGUGCCUAAUACGUGCAAGUCGAGCGAACGGACGAGAAGCUUGCUUCUCUGAUGUUAGCGGCGGACGGGUGAGUAACACGUGGAUAACCUACCUAUAAGACUGGGAUAACUUCGGGAAACCGGAGCUAAUACCGGAUAAUAUUUUGAACCGCAUGGUUCAAAAGUGAAAGACGGUCUUGCUGUCACUUAUAGAUGGAUCCGCGCUGCAUUAGCUAGUUGGUAAGGUAACGGCUUACCAAGGCAACGAUGCAUAGCCGACCUGAGAGGGUGGUCGGCCACACUGGAACUGAGACACGGUCCAGACUCCUACGGGAGGCAGCAGUAGGGAAUCUUCCGCAAUGGGCGAAAGCCUGACGGAGCAACGCCGCGUGAGUGAUGAAGGUCUUCGGAUCGUAAAACUCUGUUAUUAGGGAAGAACAUAUGUGUAAGUAACUGUGCACAUCUUGACGGUACCUAAUCAGAAAGCCACGGCUAACUACGUG
This 497-nucleotide ribosomal RNA is filed under the name uncultured bacterium. RNAcentral describes it as "partial 16S ribosomal RNA". It matches the Rfam family "Bacterial small subunit ribosomal RNA", at positions 28 to 507 of the family's 1533-position model. The record is from RNAcentral.